CCCAAAUCAAAUCCGGCAUGACCCUAACAGGUUUACCGGAGGCUGUCCAGGCUGCUCACAUAACGUCUGUUGGGGUAAGAAGCUGCCCAUCGGGGUAAUGGAGGGACGGCCCAUUGUCUGUAGGUAAGAGACCUGCCUCGAAUCCUGUCCAGCAGUUUAGAUUUUUCUUCCCCAUCCUGCAAGAGGACCCCUUUAUCAACUUUAAGCCUUCUGUGCUUUGCAAGAGUGGGACCCGUUGGUUGCCCCCAAUUGCCCACCCAUAAUCAACAAAAGGCCCCGCAGAAUUUGGAACCAGUGCCUGAUACCAAACACCUCUUCCAACAACAGGUGCACACUUUGGCCAAGUGUAGUGAUUUG
Molecule: non-coding RNA, 357 nt
Organism: Pelobates cultripes (western spadefoot toad)
Lineage: Eukaryota; Metazoa; Chordata; Amphibia; Anura; Pelobatidae
Source: the annotation of a GenBank genome assembly